This 769-nucleotide ribosomal RNA is filed under the name uncultured bacterium. RNAcentral's name for it is "bacterial SSU rRNA". It matches the Rfam family "Bacterial small subunit ribosomal RNA", at positions 8 to 796 of the family's 1533-position model. The record is from RNAcentral.
AGAGUUUGAUCCUGGCUCAGGAUGAACGCUGGCGGCGUGUCUUAGGCAUGCAAGUCGAACGGUCACGUGUAGCAAUAUAUGUGAUAGUGGCAAACGGGUGCGUAACACAUUGGUAACCUACCCCGCAGUUCGGAACAACGAGUCGAAAGAUUCGCUAAUACCGGAUGUGGUUUCCGAAUACUUUUCGGAGCAGAAAGUCGCAAGACGCUGUGGGAGGGGCCUAUGGUCCAUCAGGUAGUUGGUAGGGUAAUGGCCUACCAAGCCUAUGACGGAUAGCGGGAUUGAGAGAUCGACCCGCCUCACUGGGACUGAGACACUGCCCAGACUUCUACGGAAGGCUGCAGUCGAGAAUCUUCCCCAAUGGCCGAAAGGCUGAGGGAGCGACGCCGCGUGCAGGAAGAAUCCCUUCGGGGUGUAAACUGCUUUUCUUUGGGAACAACUCUGAGUGUACCAAAGGAAUAAGGGGCUGCUAACUUCGUGCCAGCAGCAGCGGUAAUACGAAGGCCCCGAGCGUUAUCCGGAUUUAUUGGGCGUAAAGCGUUAAUAGGCGGUUCGGUAAGUAUCUGGUUAAAUCUCAUGGCUCAACCAUGAGGCUGCCGGAUAAACUGCCGGACUUGAGGUCGGAAGAGGCAAGCGGAACUACCGGCGUAGUGGUAAAAUGCGUUAAUAUCGGUAGGAACACCAAAGGCGAAGGCAGCUUGCUGGUACGAACCUGACGCUAAAUAACGAAAGCGUGGGGAGCGAAUGGGAUUAGAUACCCUAGUAGUCC